RNAcentral lists this ribosomal RNA (384 nucleotides) under Bacillus pumilus. RNAcentral describes it as "bacterial SSU rRNA". It matches the Rfam family "Bacterial small subunit ribosomal RNA", at positions 534 to 917 of the family's 1533-position model. Lineage: Bacteria; Bacillati; Bacillota; Bacilli; Caryophanales; Bacillaceae. The record is from RNAcentral.
GGGAGGGACGCGUCGGAUUAUUGGGCGUAAGGGCUCGCAGGCGGUUUCUUAAGUCUGAUGUGAAAGCCCCCGGCUCAACCGGGGAGGGUCAUUGGAAACUGGGGAACUUGAGUGCAGAAGAGGAGAGUGGAAUUCCACGUGUAGCGGUGAAAUGCGUAGAGAUGUGGAGGAACACCAGUGGCGAAGGCGACUCUCUGGUCUGUAACUGACGCUGAGGAGCGAAAGCGUGGGGAGCGAACAGGAUUAGAUACCCUGGUAGUCCACGCCGUAAACGAUGAGUGCUAAGUGUUAGGGGGUUUCCGCCCCUUAGUGCUGCAGCUAACGCAUUAAGCACUCCGCCUGGGGAGUACGGUCGCAAGACUGAAACUUAAAGAAAUUGACGGA